Molecule: ribosomal RNA, 805 nt
Filed under: uncultured Pelagibacteraceae bacterium
Lineage: Bacteria; Pseudomonadati; Pseudomonadota; Alphaproteobacteria; Candidatus Pelagibacterales; Candidatus Pelagibacteraceae
Description: bacterial SSU rRNA
Rfam family: Bacterial small subunit ribosomal RNA
Source: RNAcentral
CGCUGGCGGCACGCCUAACACAUGCAAGUCGAACGCAGUAGCAAUACUGAGUGGCAAACGGGUGAGUAUAAUGUGGGAAUCUGCCUUUUGGUUUGGAAUAACACGGGGAAACUUGUGCUAAUACCGAAUAAGCCCUUACGGGGAAAGUUUUAACGCCGAAAGAUGAGCCCGCACUUGAUUAGCUAGUUGGUAAGGUAAAAGCUUACCAAGGCAAUGAUCAAUAGCUGUUCUUAGAGGAAGACCAGCCACAUUGGGACUGAGACACGGCCCAGACUCCUACGGGAGGCAGCAGUGGGGAAUCUUGCACAAUGGGGGAAACCCUGAUGCAGCGAUGCCGCGUGAGUGAAGAAGGCCUUUGGGUUGUAAAACUCUUUCGUCGGGGAAGAAAAUGACUGUACCCGAAUAAGAAGGUCCGGCUAACUUCGUGCCAGCAGCCGCGGUAAUACGAAGGGACCUAGCGUAGUUCGGAAUUACUGGGCUUAAAGAGCUCGUAGGUGGUUAAAAAAGUUGAUGGUGAAAUCCCAAGGCUUAACCUUGGAACUGCCAUCAAAACUUUUUAGCUAGAGUGUGAUAGAGGUAAGUGGAAUUUCUAGUGUAGAGGUGAAAUUCGUAGAUAUUAGAAAGAACACCAAAUGCGAAGGCAACUUACUGGGUCACUACUGACACUGAGGAGCGAAAGCAUGGGUAGCGAAGAGGAUUAGAUACCCUCGUAGUCCAUGCCGUAAACGAUGUGUGCUAGACGUUGGAAAUAUAUUUUUCAGUGUCGCAGCGAAAGCAUUAAGCACACCGCCUGGGGAGUACGACC